Molecule: ribosomal RNA, 474 nt
Filed under: uncultured bacterium
Lineage: Bacteria
Description: bacterial SSU rRNA
Rfam family: Bacterial small subunit ribosomal RNA
Source: RNAcentral
GAUGAACGCUAGCUACAGGCUUAACACAUGCAAGUCGAGGGGAAACGACAUUGGAAGCUUGCUUCCGAUGGGCGUCGACCGGCGCACGGGUGAGUAACGCGUAUCCAACCUGCCCACCACUUGGAGAUAACCUUGCGAAAGUAAGACUAAUACCCAAUGAUAUCCCACGAAGGCAUCCGAAUGGGAUUAAAGAUUUAUCGGUGAUGGAUGGGGAUGCGUCUGAUUAGCUUGUUGGCGGGGUAACGGCCCACCAAGGCAACGAUCAGUAGGGGUUCUGAGAGGAAGGUCCCCCACAUUGGAACUGAGACACGGUCCAAACUCCUACGGGAGGCAGCAGUGAGGAAUAUUGGGCAAUGGGCGCAAGCCUGACCCAGCAACGCCGCGUGAAGGAAGAAGGCUUUCGGGUUGUAAACUUCUUUUAAGAGGGAAGAGCAGAAGACUGUACCUCUAGAAUAAGCCACGGCUAACUACGUG